This 352-nucleotide unclassified non-coding RNA is filed under the name soil metagenome. RNAcentral describes it as "partial contains 5.8S ribosomal RNA, internal transcribed spacer 2, and large subunit ribosomal RNA". The stretch from base 1 to 120 matches the Rfam family "5.8S ribosomal RNA", at positions 35 to 154 of the family's 154-position model. The record is from RNAcentral.
GAUGAAGAACGUAGCGAAAUGCGAAAAGUAAUGUGAAUUGCAGAAUUCAGUGAAUCAUCGAAUCUUUGAACGCACAUUGCGCCCGCUGGUACUCCGGCGGGCUCGCCUGUCCGAGCGUCAUUUCAACCCUCAAGCCCUCCUUCGGGAUGGGCCUGGUGUUGGGGCUCGGCCGCCAUCUCCGGCGGCCGUCCCCUAAAUACAGUGGCGGUCACGUCGCGACUCCUUUGCGUAGUAGAAACACCUCGCUCCGGAUAGCAACGCGGUCCACGCCGUAAAACCCCCAAUUUUCAAUGGUUGACCUCGGAUCAGGUGGGAAUACCCGCUGAACUUAAGCAUAUCAAUAAGCGGAGGA